This 158-nucleotide non-coding RNA is filed under the name Alphaproteobacteria bacterium. RNAcentral describes it as "6S RNA". It matches the Rfam family "6S / SsrS RNA". Rfam says of the family: E. coli 6S RNA was the first non coding RNA to be sequenced, but its function was unknown until recently. It consists of 184 nucleotides that fold into an extended hairpin structure with a large single-stranded internal bulge. The record is from RNAcentral. Lineage: Bacteria; Pseudomonadati; Pseudomonadota; Alphaproteobacteria.
GCGGUGCUGCCUGGUGCGUCAGGAGCUCGAUUCCCAGGGGCCUUAUCGAACGUCCAGGGAGCUGUCCCUGACCGGGGCCCUGGCCCCGGACACACGGCGCCCACCUGCUAUGAGCAGGUCCCAGUGGAUUCACCCUCCAACGGCCGAGGCGGGCCGCA